AGUGAAUGGCUGCAGUACAGGCAUUUAACCACUGCGCCACCAGGGUUAAAUCCCUUUCAUAUAUUUUCAUCUCAUUGGAAUUAUUGAGGAUUUAAGACAGGCGAACUUACGCAAAGGUAAAUCAUUUUUAAUAAAGAUGUUGUGGGCACAUCAGGUUUUCCCCCCCACCCAGACGAUCACAAAGCCCAUUUACCAAUCAGCAAAACAACUCAUUCAGAGCUACGCAGGAAAUUUGAUACUUAAAUGAGAGCUCUCCUUUCAAAUGAUUAAAAUCUUAAAGUGUUACUCAUUCUUCAUUAAUAAGGAACUAUUUUCCUAAAUUGUUGUAUUUUGUUGCAAUAUUUUAUUGAAGGACUGAGUCUGUUUCUAAGGUUCAAAACACAUAUAUUACAUGAAACACAAGGGACUAAGGGGAGAAACAGAUCACCCCAAAGCUGCCCCUGAGAAAGCCGGGUUGGGACUGCAGCAACCACACACCAUGGCCUCAAUCCAGCUUUUUGCCAGCCCAAAAAGAGGAGGCAAAAAGGCAUUUUUUCCCUCCCCACCACAGCUUUUCGGCAUUCCUGUGAAAUGCCGCAUGCAUAUGCUACACCCCCAAACCGUCAGAAUGCCAGUGUUUCAAGGCAGUCUGUUUGAGCUCUAAGUAUGUUUCUGAGGUCCAAAGCACAUAUAUUACAUGAAAUAAAUGCAUACAAAGAGAUGCUUAACAUGUGGAAUUAGUAGCUGAAUAUUUACAUCUAUCACCUAAGACUGUGCUGUCAUGUAAAACUUGGACUCUUCCUAAGGUAAAGGGGAUUUCUGUUUGCAUUUUUCUUCAGGAAUUUGGAAAGUCCUGGGAAGAAGUUCAGUCAGAAGAUGACCGUGAAUUGCUGUCCAACCAGGAAGAAGACUGGUCUGACUGGGAAGAUCAUCCUGUUUGUGCCGUUUGCCUCUUCUGUGAGAAGCAGACAGACACCACAGAAAAGCUGUAUGUUCACAUGGAGGAGACUCAUGGAUUUGGACCUGCGAAAAAUAAGUCUGAGCAUGGU
Long non-coding RNA from Sceloporus undulatus (fence lizard), 1028 nucleotides. RefSeq lists it as uncharacterized. NCBI's taxonomy places the organism in Eukaryota, Metazoa, Chordata, Lepidosauria, Squamata, Phrynosomatidae. The transcript is spliced from 3 exons. The record is from RefSeq and is a predicted model, not a curated record.